CUCCAUUCGCCUGAAACGACAGCCUUACUGAAAUGAAUAUUACUCGCUUUGCUUUGGAGUAUCAGUCACACUCACGCAAUCAGACACAAGGUUUCUAAAUUGACUUUCAAGAGCCUUAGGAACUUCCUCCAUAUCACAAUAAGAAAAAGCAAAAGUUAAUUACUACCUACUUUUAACCAGGGUUUUGUUAACAACAGUUUGCUUCCCUGAUCCCUGUAUCUAUCUCCUGCGCCAGGUACUUCCACCCAAGUCACUGGGAAAAUGCAGCUUCCUUCAUGGACAGAGUCAAUUUCACUGACCAGCCAGGAGGACAGCAUCUGCUCCUUGUCUGUUCCAUUAGUGUUGAAAGGUUUGCACAAAUCUAUUUACCCGCCCUCCUUUCCCUGUGCCCGUUAUGACAAAAAAAAAAACCGGAGCUUUGCCAGACAGCUAGCCAAACCUCCACUGUCCCCUGGCUGUGGAACUGUGUCCGGAGAUGGUUCCUUCCGGUGGGUUCUUGGUCUCGCUCACUUCAAGAAUGAAGCCGCGGACCUUCACGACAGAAAAGUUCUCCAAGUCCCCACCGGACCAAGAAGUCCAACUGGCUUCACCUCCCAGAACAAGCCACCAAGGAAACCACCUGGAUCACACAGAAAUCACACGCAUGACCCUGACCUUGGUCCCUUCUCAACAGAAAAUUUAAAAUAAAAUAAAACAACCUCUCAAAAUUGUGCUCGUUCUUGAGAAAACUUUUUAUAGAAUUAUCUUAUUCAGAAUAAAAUUUUUAUACCAGACAAGGAAAACAUUUUCCAAAUUACAUUUACAAGAAACCUUGGGGAAAGUCUGUGAG
RNAcentral lists this long non-coding RNA (829 nucleotides) under Homo sapiens (human). RNAcentral describes it as "HSALNT0391179". Lineage: Eukaryota; Metazoa; Chordata; Mammalia; Primates; Hominidae. The record is from RNAcentral.